GACGAACGCUGGCGGCGUGCUUAACACAUGCAAGUCGAACGGAAAGGCCCUUCGGGGUCCUCGAGUGGCGAACGGGUGAGUAACACGUGGGUGAUCUGCCCUGCACUUUGGGAUAAGCCUGGGAAACUGGGUCUAAUACCGAAUAGGACCACGCGCUUCAUGGUGUGUGGUGGAAAGCUUUUGCGGUGUGGGAUGGGCCCGCGGCCUAUCAGCUUGUUGGUGGGGUAAUGGCCUACCAAGGCGACGACGGGUAGCCGGCCUGAGAGGGUGACCGGCCACACUGGGACUGAGAUACGGCCCAGACUCCUACGGGAGGCAGCAGUGGGGAAUAUUGCACAAUGGGCGCAAGCCUGAUGCAGCGACGCCGCGUGAGGGAUGACGGCCUUCGGGUUGUAAACCUCUUUCAAUAGGGACGAAGCGAAAGUGACGGUACCUAUAGAAGAAGCACCGGCCAACUACGUG
RNAcentral lists this ribosomal RNA (462 nucleotides) under uncultured bacterium. RNAcentral describes it as "partial 16S ribosomal RNA". It matches the Rfam family "Bacterial small subunit ribosomal RNA", at positions 28 to 507 of the family's 1533-position model. The record is from RNAcentral.